This 393-nucleotide ribosomal RNA is filed under the name uncultured bacterium. Its description in RNAcentral is "bacterial SSU rRNA". It matches the Rfam family "Bacterial small subunit ribosomal RNA", at positions 29 to 413 of the family's 1533-position model. The record is from RNAcentral.
AACGAACGCUGGCGGCGCGCUUAACACAUGCAAGUCGAACGAGAAGGCGUAGCAAUACGCUUGUACAGUGGCGAACGGGUGAGUAAUACGUGGGCGACCUACCCUCGAGUGGGGAAUAACCCGCCGAAAGGCGGGCUAAUGCCGCGUACGCUUCCAUCUUUAUGGAGGUGGAAGGAAAGCCGUGCCGUGGGCACGGCGCUCAAGGAUGGGCUCACGUCCUAUCAGCUUGUUGGAGGGUAACGGCCUACCAAGGCUCCGACGGGUAGCUGGUCUGAGAGGACGAUCAGCCACACUGGCACUGCGACACGGGCCAGACUCCUACGGGAGGCAGCAGUGAGGAAUAUUGCGCAAUGGGCGAAAGCCUGACGCAGCGACGCCGCGCGGGGGAGUGAA